CUUAUAAUUCCUCCGUCCGGAUAUAUUUGUCAUCAAAAUGGAUAGAUGGAGGUGUAUCUAGACGUAUUUUAGUUCUAGAUAUAUCCCUUUUUAUUCAUUUCGAUGACAAGUAUUUUCGAACGGAGGAAGUAUGUU
Molecule: non-coding RNA, 135 nt
Organism: Triticum aestivum (bread wheat)
Lineage: Eukaryota; Viridiplantae; Streptophyta; Magnoliopsida; Poales; Poaceae
Source: Rfam